AAGAGACAGCAGUCGCCGCGGUAAUACGUAGGUGGCAAGCGUUGUCCGGAAUUAUUGGGCGUAAAGGGCUCGCAGGCGGUUUCUUAAGUCUGAUGUGAAAGCCCCCGGCUCAACCGGGGAGGGUCAUUGGAAACUGGGAAACUUGAGUGCAGAAGAGGAGAGUGGAAUUCCGCGUGUAGCGGUGAAAUGCGUAGAGAUGUGGAGGAACACCAGUGGCGAAGGCGACUCUCUGGUCUGUAACUGACGCUGAGGAGCGAAAGCGUGGGGAGCGAACAGGAUUAGAUACCCGAGUAGUCCCUGUCUCUUAUAC
RNAcentral lists this ribosomal RNA (310 nucleotides) under uncultured bacterium. Its description in RNAcentral is "partial 16S ribosomal RNA". It matches the Rfam family "Bacterial small subunit ribosomal RNA", at positions 503 to 807 of the family's 1533-position model. The record is from RNAcentral.